AUACUAUUCAACCAACCACCCUCUCAACCUUAGGGGGCCCACAUCAUCCUAACCACACAUUUCUUAAUCCAAGUGCUAAAAAACUACUAGCACCAAUAGCUUUGUGCUAUUAAUAGUAUUCUAGCAUAUAUAUAUAUAUAUAUAUAUAUAUAUAUAUGCACACACACAGGGAGAAAGAUAGCAUGCUACCUAUUUUUUUAUUUCUUUUUAGAAAUAAACUUAACUGAAAAUGUGAGUCUAACUAGGAUUCGAAUUUGGGACUCGGGUAUUAACUACCAAGCUCUUUGCUAUUUGCCCUAGGGAUGGUCGGUACUCAUAAAAAUAUUUUGAAAAAAACUUCAAAUAUCACCCCUGUUGUUUCGCACUUUUUUAUUUUAAUAUCCUGUCAUUUAAAGUAUAUCAAUUUAGUACUCCGUGGUUUCUUUUUUUUUUUAUUAUUCCCUCCACUAAUUUUUUUCGUUAAAUCAGUGACAAAAUUAAAACUAAAAAGUACUAAAGUGAAUAUUCGAUAAAUCUAAGUAAAAGCAUUUGAAUUUUUUUAUAUAUAAUUUAAUAAAAUAUUAAUAGAAGAGUCGACAAAGAGAGAAAAAUAAAAUCACAUGAUACUAAAUUGAUACGUUUUAAAUCACAAAAUAUUCAAGUGGGAAAUUAGGGAAUUACAGGGGUGGUAUUGAAAGUGUA
This 681-nucleotide long non-coding RNA is filed under the name Ananas comosus (pineapple). RNAcentral describes it as "long non-coding RNA (ACOM_LNC015521)". Lineage: Eukaryota; Viridiplantae; Streptophyta; Magnoliopsida; Poales; Bromeliaceae. The record is from RNAcentral.